ACGAACGCUGGCGGCGUGCCUAAUACAUGCAAGUCGAACGGUCUUUCUAUGGAAGCUUGCUUCCACUGAGAAGAUAGUGGCGAACGGGUGAGUAACACGUGGGUAACCUGCCCAUAAGAGGGGGAUAACAUCCGGAAACGGGUGCUAAUACCGCAUAGUUUUCUUGAUCGCAUGAUUGAGAAAGGAAAGACGGCCUUUGUGCUGUUGCCUAUGGAUGGACCCGCGGCGUAUUAGUUAGUUGGUGAGGUAACGGCUCACCAAGACGAUGAUACGUAGCCGACCUGAGAGGGUGAUCGGCCACAUUGGGACUGAGACACGGCCCAAACUCCUACGGGAGGCAGCAGUGGGGAAUAUUGCACAAUGGGGGAAACCCUGAUGCAAGCAACGCCGCGUGAGUGAUGACGGCCUUCGGGUUGUAAAGCUCUGUCUUCAGGGACGAUAAUGACGGUACCUGAGGAGGAAGCCACGGCUAACUACGUGCCAGCCGCUGC
Molecule: ribosomal RNA, 491 nt
Filed under: uncultured bacterium
Lineage: Bacteria
Description: bacterial SSU rRNA
Rfam family: Bacterial small subunit ribosomal RNA
Source: RNAcentral